AUUGAACGCUGGCGGCAUGCCUUACACAAGCAGUCGAACGGCAGCACGGGAGCAAUCCUGGUGGCGAGUGGCGAACGGGUGAGUAAAGUAUCGGAACGUGCCCAGUCGUGGGGGAUAACGUAGCGAAAGUUACGCUAAUACCGCAUACGAUCUAUGGAUGAAAGCGGGGGAUCGCAAGACCUCGCGCGAUUGGAGCGGCCGAUAGCAGAUUAGGUAGUUGGUGGGGUAAAGGCUCACCAAGCCGACGAUCUGUAGCUGGUCUGAGAGGACGACCAGCCACACUGGGACUGAGACACGGCCCAGACUCCUACGGGAGGCAGCAGUGGGGAAUUUUGGACAAUGGGCGAAAGCCUGAUCCAGCCAUGCCGCGUGCAGGAUGAAGGCCUUCGGGUUAUAAACUGCUUUUGUACGGAACGAAAAGGUUUGGCCUAAUAAGCUGAGCUCAUGACGGUACCGUAAGAAUAAGCACCGGCUAACUACGUGCCAGCAGCCGCCGUAA
This 499-nucleotide ribosomal RNA is filed under the name uncultured bacterium. Its description in RNAcentral is "partial 16S ribosomal RNA". It matches the Rfam family "Bacterial small subunit ribosomal RNA", at positions 30 to 523 of the family's 1533-position model. The record is from RNAcentral.